UUCAUAAGCGGAGGAAAAGAAACCAACAGGGAUUGCCCUAGUAACGGCGAGUGAAGCGGCAACAGCUCAAAUUUGAAAGCUAGCCUUCGGGUUCGCAUUGUAAUUUGUAGAGGAUGAUUUGGGGAAGCCGCCUGUCUAAGUUCCUUGGAACAGGACGUCAUAGAGGGUGAGAAUCCCGUAUGUGACAGGAAAUGGCACCCUAUGUAAAUCUCCUUCGACGAGUCGAGUUGUUUGGGAAUGCAGCUCUAAAUGGGAGGUAAAUUUCUUCUAAAGCUAAAUAUUGGCGAGAGACCGAUAGCGCACAAGUAGAGUGAUCGAAAGAUGAAAAGCACUUUGGAAAGAGAGUUAAAAAGCACGUGAAAUUGUUGAAAGGGAAGCGCUUGCAAUCAGACUUGUUUAAACUGUUCGGCCGGUCUUCUGACCGGUUUACUCAGUUUGGACAGGCCAGCAUCAGUUUCGGCGGCCGGAUAAAGGCUCUGGGAAUGUGGCCUCCACUUCGGUGGAGGUGUUAUAGCCCGGGGUGUAAUACGGCCAGCCGGGACUGAGGUCCGCGCUUCGGCUAGGAUGCUGGCGUAAUGGUUGUAAGCGACCCGUCUUGAAACACGGACCAAGGAGUCUAACAUCUAUGCGAGUGUUCGGGUGUCAAACCCCUGCGCGUAAUGAAAGUGAACGGAGGUGGGAACCGCAAGGUGCACCAUCGACCGAUCCUGAUGUCUUCGGAUGGAUUUGAGUAAGAGCAUAGCUGUUGGGACCCGAAAGAUGGUGAACUAUGCCUGAAUAAGGGUGAAGCCAGAGGAAACUCUGGUGGAGGCUCGCAGCGGUUCUGACGUGCAAAUCGAUCGUCAAAUUUGGGUAUAGGGGCGAAAGACUAAUCGAACAUCUAGUAGCUGUCCUGC
RNAcentral lists this ribosomal RNA (896 nucleotides) under Aureobasidium pullulans. RNAcentral's name for it is "partial large subunit ribosomal RNA". It matches the Rfam family "Eukaryotic large subunit ribosomal RNA", at positions 43 to 961 of the family's 3401-position model. Lineage: Eukaryota; Fungi; Ascomycota; Dothideomycetes; Dothideales; Saccotheciaceae. The record is from RNAcentral.